GGGGUUGUGGCUCAGUGGGAGAGCGCUUGCCUAGCAUGUAUGAGGCACUGGGUUUGAGCCCCAGCACCA
Molecule: transfer RNA, 69 nt
Filed under: Ictidomys tridecemlineatus (thirteen-lined ground squirrel)
Lineage: Eukaryota; Metazoa; Chordata; Mammalia; Rodentia; Sciuridae
Description: Spermophilus tridecemlineatus (thirteen-lined ground squirrel) tRNA
Rfam family: tRNA
About the family: Transfer RNA (tRNA) molecules are approximately 80 nucleotides in length. Their secondary structure includes four short double-helical elements and three loops (D, anti-codon, and T loops). Further hydrogen bonds mediate the characteristic L-shaped molecular structure. tRNAs have two regions of fundamental functional importance: the anti-codon, which is responsible for specific mRNA codon recognition, and the 3' end, to which the tRNAs corresponding amino acid is attached (by aminoacyl-tRNA synthetases). tRNAs cope with the degeneracy of the genetic code in two manners: having more than one tRNA (with a specific anti-codon) for a particular amino acid; and 'wobble' base-pairing, i.e. permitting non-standard base-pairing at the 3rd anti-codon position.
Source: Rfam by way of RNAcentral